RNAcentral lists this ribosomal RNA (2510 nucleotides) under Propionibacterium ruminifibrarum. Its description in RNAcentral is "bacterial LSU rRNA". It matches the Rfam family "Bacterial large subunit ribosomal RNA", at positions 582 to 2925 of the family's 2925-position model. The record is from RNAcentral. Lineage: Bacteria; Bacillati; Actinomycetota; Actinomycetes; Propionibacteriales; Propionibacteriaceae.
CUGUUUUUGGUGGGGUGACGGCGUGCCUUUUGAAGAAUGAGCCUGCGAGUUAGUGGUGUGUGGCGAGGUUAACCCGUGGUGGGGGAGCCGUAGCGAAAGCGAGUCCGAAGAGGGCGUUUGAGUCGCAUGCUCUAGACCCGAAGCGGUGUGAUCUACCCAUGGCCAGGGUGAAGCGUCGGUAAGACGUCGUGGAGGCCCGAACCCACCAGGGUUGCAAACCUGGGGGAUGAGUUGUGGGUAGGGGUGAAAGGCCAAUCAAACACUGUGAUAGCUGGUUCUCCCCGAAAUGCAUUUAGGUGCAGCGUCGCGUGUUUCUUGUCGGAGGUAGAGCACUGGAUGGUCUAGGGGGCCUAUCAGCUUACCGAAAUCAGCCAAACUCCGAAUGCCGGCAAGUGGGAGCGUGGCAGUGAGACGGCGGGGGAUAAGCUUCGUCGUCGAGAGGGAAACAGCCCAGAUCAUCAGCUAAGGCCCCUAAGGGGUGGCUAAGUGGGAAAGGAUGUGGAGUUGCGGUGACAACCAGGAGGUUGGCUUGGAAGCAGCCAUCCUUGAAAGAGUGCGUAAUAGCUCACUGGUCAAGUGAUUCCGCGCCGACAAUGUAGCGGGGCUCAAGCCGCCCGCCGAAGCUGUGGCAUUCACGCGUUGACCUGAUGCCGGGGUUUUCCCCUUGGUGUCCAGGUGUGUGGAUGGGUAGGGGAGCGUUGUGUGUGUGGUGAAGCGCUGGGGUGACCCGGUGUGGAGUGCGCGCAAGUGAGAAUGCAGGCAUGAGUAGCGUAUGACGGGUGGGAAACCCGUCCGCCGAAUAUCCAAGGGUUCCGGGGUCAAGCUGAUCUGCCCCGGGUUAGUCGGGUCCUAAGGCGAGGCCGACAGGCGUAGUCGAUGGUUAACGGGUUGAUAUUCCCGUACCGGCCCAGUAACGAUCCUGUUGAAUCGGAUGAUGCUAAGCACGCGAGACGUCCUUGUGCUCUUUGGAGUGUGGGGGUGUUGAGUCUGUGAACCGAGUCUGUAGUAGACAAGCUGCGGAGGGACGCAGGAAGGUAGCUCGACAGCCGUCAUGGUAAGGCUGUUAAGUCUGUGGGGUGACUGGUAGGUAAAUCCGCUGGUCGUGUGCCUGAGAGAUGAAGAGUGGGGCCCCGUAUGGUGGGUUCGUAUUCGAGUGAUCCUAUGCUGCCUAGAAAAGCUUCGUGAGCGAGUUGCUGUUAGUGCCGCCCGUACCCCAAACCGACACUGGUGGAUAGGUAGAGAAUACCGAGGCGAUCGAGAUAAUCGUGGUGAAGGAACUCGGCAAAAUCCUCCCGUAACUUAGGGAUAAGGGAGACUUGACGCGUGAUGGGUUCUUGCGGCCCGGAGCGCUGACAGUCGCAGUGAAUUGACCCAAGCGACUGCUUACUAAAAGCACAGGUCCGUGCCAAGUUGUAAGACGAUGUAUACGGACUGACUCCUGCCCGGUGCUGGAAGGUUAAGGGGAACUGUUAGCCCUUUUGGGCGAAGCGGUGAACUUAAGCCCCAGUAAACGGCGGUGGUAACUAUAACCAUCCUAAGGUAGCGAAAUUCCUUGUCGGGUAAGUUCCGACCUGCACGAAUGGAGUAACGACUUGGGUACUGUCUCCACCACGAACUCGGUGAAAUUGCAUUACGAGUAAAGAUGCUCGUUACGCGCAGCAGGACGGAAAGACCCCGGGACCUUUACUAUAGUUUGGUAUUGGUGAUCGGUGCGACUUGUGUAGGAUAGGUGGGAGACUGUGAAGCGGUCACGCUAGUGGUCGUGGAGUCGUCGUUGAAAUACCACUCUGGUCGUUCUGGUUAUCUAACCUAGGACCGUUAUCCGGUUCAGGGACAGUGCCUGAUGGGUAGUUUGACUGGGGCGGUCGCCUCCCAAAAGGUAACGGAGGCGCCCAAAGGUUCCCUCAGCCUGGUCGGCAACCAGGUGUUGAGUGUAAGUGCACAAGGGGGCUUGACUGUGAGACAGACAUGUCGAGCAGGGACGAAAGUCGGGACUAGUGAUCUUCUGGUGGCUUGUGGAAGCGCCAGAACUCAACGGAUAAAAGGUACCCCGGGGAUAACAGGCUGAUCUUGCCCGAGCGCUCACAGCGACGGCAUGGUUUGGCACCUCGAUGUCGGCUCGUCGCAUCCUGGGGCUGGAGUCGGUCCCAAGGGUUGGGCUGUUCGCCCAUUAAAGCGGCACGCGAGCUGGGUUAAGAACGUCGUGAGACAGUUCGGUCCCUAUCCGCUGCGCGCGUAGGAAUCUUGAGAAGGGCUGUCCUUAGUACGAGAGGACCGGGACGGACUAACCUCUGGUGUGCCAGUUGUUCCUCCAGGAGCAUGGCUGGUUGGCUACGUUGGGAAGUGAUAACCGCUGAAAGCAUCUAAGUGGGAAGCACGCUUCGAGAUGAGGGUUCCCCAGCCCCUGUGCUGGUAAGGCCCCCGGUAGACCACCGGGUUGAUGGGUCGGACGUGGAAGCGCCGUGAGGUGUGGAGCUGACCGAUUCCAAGUGGCCGAGAGGCUUGCCAUC